This 497-nucleotide ribosomal RNA is filed under the name uncultured bacterium. RNAcentral describes it as "partial 16S ribosomal RNA". It matches the Rfam family "Bacterial small subunit ribosomal RNA", at positions 28 to 507 of the family's 1533-position model. The record is from RNAcentral.
GAUGAACGCUGGCGGCGUGCCUAAUACAUGCAAGUCGAGCGAACAGACGAGGAGCUUGCUCCUCUGACGUUAGCGGCGGACGGGUGAGUAACACGUGGAUAACCUACCUAUAAGACUGGGAUAACUUCGGGAAACCGGAGCUAAUACCGGAUAAUAUAUUGAACCGCAUGGUUCAAUAGUGAAAGACGGUUUUGCUGUCACUUAUAGAUGGAUCCGCGCCGCAUUAGCUAGUUGGUAAGGUAACGGCUUACCAAGGCGACGAUGCGUAGCCGACCUGAGAGGGGGAUCGGCCACACUGGAACUGAGACACGGUCCAGACGCCUACGGGAGGCAGCAGUAGGGAAUCUUCCGCAAUGGGCGAAAGCCUGACGGAGCAACGCCGCGUGAGUGAUGAAGGUCUUCGGAUCGUAAAACUCUGUUAUUAGGGAAGAACAAAUGUGUAAGUAACUAUGCACGUCUUGACGGUACCUAAUCAGAAAGCCACGGCUAACUACGUG